This 468-nucleotide ribosomal RNA is filed under the name uncultured bacterium. RNAcentral's name for it is "partial 16S ribosomal RNA". It matches the Rfam family "Bacterial small subunit ribosomal RNA", at positions 28 to 507 of the family's 1533-position model. The record is from RNAcentral.
GACGAACGCUGGCGGCGUGCUUAACACAUGCAAGUCGAACGGAAAGGCCCUGCUUUUGUGGGGUGCUCGAGUGGCGAACGGGUGAGUAACACGUGAGUAACCUGCCCUUGACUUUGGAAUAACUUCAGGAAACUGGGGCUAAUACCGGAUAGGAGCUCCUGCUGCAUGGUGGGGGUUGGAAAGUUUCGGCGGUUGGGGAUGGACUCGCGGCUUAUCAGCUUGUUGGUGGGGUAGUGGCUUACCAAGGCUUUGACGGGUAGCCGGCCUGAGAGGGUGACCGGCCACAUUGGGACUGAGAUACGGCCCAGACUCCUACGGGAGGCAGCAGUGGGGAAUAUUGCACAAUGGGCGGAAGCCUGAUGCAGCAACGCCGCGUGCGAGAUGACGGCCUUCGGGUUGUAAACCGCUUUCGCCUGUGACGAAGCGUGAGUGACGGUAAUGGGUAAAGAAGCACCGGCUAACUACGUG